RNAcentral lists this non-coding RNA (152 nucleotides) under Lingulaulax polyedra. The record is from RNAcentral. Lineage: Eukaryota; Dinophyceae; Gonyaulacales; Lingulodiniaceae.
UUUAAACAGCCGCAAUGAAAGCCAAAAAAAAAAAUGCAAAAAAAAAACAUCCACAACAGUAAGAAAGUAACUACUACUUUAUAAGAUUAAUAGUUUUAUCUGUUAGAUAGUUUCUACGUCAAGAAUACGAGUUGAGGGUAUUUUUAAAAAAU